RNAcentral lists this unclassified non-coding RNA (805 nucleotides) under Zea mays. RNAcentral's name for it is "misc RNA Zm00001eb347920". The record is from RNAcentral. Lineage: Eukaryota; Viridiplantae; Streptophyta; Magnoliopsida; Poales; Poaceae.
UUCAGCUAAGUGAUCGGAAUAGCGAAAUAACUCGCUAUAACUGAACCUGGCUCGAUAAUCGCAAAAACUGCAAAGUCGACGAGAGUUUCGUGACUCACGCAAUUUAUCGAGCAACUAAUGAGUAUCACACUAGUACAUUAAUUUAUUUAACGAUCGAACCAUUCUAAACAAUUUAUCAGCUUACCGUUUCCACAUCAGACACGAAUCCGCGAGAUCGGUAGCGAUUUUCCGAUCCAGGCAAUUUAUCGAGCGCUUAGGGAAUAUCACGCUGCUAGCUUCGUCUUCACCCGAUUCUUGGGUUUUCUUGCUGACGCGCGGAACGACGAUGGUCCUAAUUCAGGCGUUUUGUCGAGCACCAAGCAAGCGUUGCACGGCAAGAUGACGUCGAGGCGAGGAUCAAAGAUGGACAACCGGCACGGCGCGAUGGCAGCUUGAACAGAGACGAGACCGACGGCGAGGUUGAAGCUGGAGGGGGAGCCGAUGGCGCUGGGGCAAGGGGGUGAGGCCGAGCGCCAUGGGGCAAGCUGGAGGACGAGCUCGGGCGUGGAGAUAGCAGAGGGGCGAGCACCACGGCCAGGCGAGCUGGAAACGGCUGGGAACAGGGAGGGGCUCGCAGAGAAGAAGGGAACGCGAUGCUGGGAGCAGGGGCCUCGGCUGGGAGGAGCUCGACUGGCGGCCAUGGACGGAGGGAAACUCGACGCAGCCAAACUUGAGGAAGAGGAGGGAGGGACAGAGCGCGUGCCGGAGCUGGAGAAGGAGACCGCAAUCCGUACGCCGGCGAGCAGGGGGAGAAGAAAAGCAAGCG